AGCUCCAAUAGCGUAUAUUAAAGUUGUUGCAGUUAAAAAGCUCGUAGUUGAAUUUCUGAUAGAAGGGAGCGGUUCCGCAUUCUUGCGGAUACUGGCUCGUCUUCCGUCAUCCUUGGGCUUAGUCUCGCUGAUAUUAACUUAUCGGCGUGUACGAUGCCCCUCGUUUACUGUGAGCAAAUUAGAGUGUUCAAAGCAGGCAUUUUGCCAUUGAAUAUAUUAGCAUGGAAUAAAAGAUAGGAUUUCACGAUUUUAUUUUGUUGGUUUGCGUUGUGAAAUAAUGAUUAAGAGGGACAGUUGUGGGUAUUCGUAUUCAGAUGUCAGAGGUGAAAUUCUUAGAUUAUCGGAAGACGAACGACUGCGAAAGCAUUUACCAAGGAUGUUUUCA
This 385-nucleotide ribosomal RNA is filed under the name uncultured marine Chaetocerotaceae. Its description in RNAcentral is "SSU rRNA". It matches the Rfam family "Eukaryotic small subunit ribosomal RNA", at positions 587 to 972 of the family's 1831-position model. The record is from RNAcentral. Lineage: Eukaryota; Bacillariophyta; Thalassiosirophyceae; Chaetocerotales; Chaetocerotaceae.